This 500-nucleotide ribosomal RNA is filed under the name Streptococcus sp. SM21. RNAcentral's name for it is "bacterial SSU rRNA". It matches the Rfam family "Bacterial small subunit ribosomal RNA", at positions 37 to 519 of the family's 1533-position model. Lineage: Bacteria; Bacillati; Bacillota; Bacilli; Lactobacillales; Streptococcaceae. The record is from RNAcentral.
UGGCGGCGUGCCUAAUACAUGCAAGUAGAACGCUGAAGCUUGGUGCUUGCACCGAGCGGAUGAGUUGCGAACGGGUGAGUAACGCGUAGGUAACCUGCCUCUUAGCGGGGGAUAACUAUUGGAAACGAUAGCUAAUACCGCAUAAAAGUCGAUAUCGCAUGAUAUUGAUUUGAAAGGUGCAAAUGCAUCACUAAGAGAUGGACCUGCGUUGUAUUAGCUAGUUGGUGAGGUAACGGCUCACCAAGGCGACGAUACAUAGCCGACCUGAGAGGGUGAUCGGCCACACUGGGACUGAGACACGGCCCAGACUCCUACGGGAGGCAGCAGUAGGGAAUCUUCGGCAAUGGACGGAAGUCUGACCGAGCAACGCCGCGUGAGUGAAGAAGGUUUUCGGAUCGUAAAGCUCUGUUGUAAGAGAAGAACGAGUGUGAGAGUGGAAAGUUCACACUGUGACGGUAACUUACCAGAAAGGGACGGCUAACUACGUGCCAGCAGCCGCG